AGUGAACGCUGGCGGCAGGCCUAACACAUGCAAGUCGAGCGGCAGCGCGGGGGCAACCCUGGCGGCGAGCGGCGGACGGGUGAGGAAUACAUCGGAAUCUGCCUUGUUGUGGGGAAUAACGUAGGGAAACUUACGCUAAUACCGCAUAAGACCGAAAGGUGAAAGUGGGGGAUCGCAAGACCUCACGCGACAAGAUGAGCCGAUGUCGGAUUAGCUAGUUGGUGGGGUAAUGGCCCACCAAGGCGACGAUCCGUAGCUGGUCUGAGAGGAUGAUCAGCCACACUGGGACUGAGACACGGCCCAGACUCCUACGGGAGGCAGCAGUGGGGAAUAUUGGACAAUGGGCGCAAGCCUGAUCCAGCCAUGCCGCGUGUGUGAAGAAGGCCUUCGGGUUGUAAAGCACUUUUGUUGGGAAAGAAAUCCUGUCGGUUAAUACCUGGCGG
Molecule: ribosomal RNA, 443 nt
Filed under: uncultured Dokdonella sp.
Lineage: Bacteria; Pseudomonadati; Pseudomonadota; Gammaproteobacteria; Lysobacterales; Rhodanobacteraceae
Description: bacterial SSU rRNA
Rfam family: Bacterial small subunit ribosomal RNA
Source: RNAcentral